GAAGCCCGCCAGACCACCGCUGGUGCAAUUUGGGAAACCAAGCACUGGAGGAACGUCCGGACUGCAUAGGGCAGCGUAGCAGCUAACGGCUGUCCACCGACAAGUCCUCCACGCAAGUGGGAGACCCUAAGGUGAGGAUUAGAGCAACAGAGACGAGUCGCUGGGACAAGCUUUCGGGCGAAGCCCAUCGGGUGAAACGGGCAAUCUCUACGCGCAGCAAUACCAAGUAGGCACACGUUGACGGGGCCCCCGGAGUGUGCGGGUAGGUAGCAUCGAGCCGAACGGGCAACCGCCGGCCCAGAUUAAUGGUGGUCACAUGGGGGGAAACCCCCAUGCACAGAAUCCGGCUUAUCGGUGGGCUUCACAC
Molecule: RNase P RNA, 367 nt
Filed under: Rhodoferax sp.
Lineage: Bacteria; Pseudomonadati; Pseudomonadota; Betaproteobacteria; Burkholderiales; Comamonadaceae
Description: RNase P RNA component class A
Rfam family: Bacterial RNase P class A
About the family: Ribonuclease P (RNase P) is a ubiquitous endoribonuclease, found in archaea, bacteria and eukarya as well as chloroplasts and mitochondria.
Source: RNAcentral